GGAGAGGUCGCAUAGCUCGGCUGAGUGCGCGGCAUUGGAAAUGCCGUAACCCUUUAUGGGUUCCAGGGUUCGAAUCCCUGCCUCUCCG
Molecule: transfer RNA, 88 nt
Filed under: Candidatus Omnitrophota bacterium
Lineage: Bacteria; Pseudomonadati; Candidatus Omnitrophota
Description: Candidatus Omnitrophica bacterium tRNA-Ser
Rfam family: tRNA
About the family: Transfer RNA (tRNA) molecules are approximately 80 nucleotides in length.
Source: RNAcentral